CCUACGGGAGGCAGCAGUGAGGAAUAUUGGUCAAUGGGCGGAAGCCUGAACCAGCCAAGUAGCGUGCAGGAUGACGGCCCUACGGGUUGUAAACUGCUUUUAUACGGGAAUAACGCGCCUUACGUGUAGGGCUUUGCAUGUACCGUAUGAAUAAGGACCGGCUAAUUCCGUGCCAGCAGCCGCGGUAAUACGGAAGGUCCGGGCGUUAUCCGGAUUUAUUGGGGUUAAGGGGAGCGUAGGCCGCAUGUCAAGCGUGCUGUGAAAGGUCCGGGCUCAACCCGGGCCUUGCACGGCGAACUGGCGUGCUUGAGUCCGCGGAAGGCAGGCGGAAUUCGUAGUGUAGCGGUGAAAUGCUUAGAUAUGACGAAGAACCCCGAUUGCGAAGGCAGCUUGCUGCAGCGGAACUGACGCUGAUGCUCGAAAGCGCGGGUAUCGAACAGGAUUAGAUACCCUAGUAGUC
RNAcentral lists this ribosomal RNA (460 nucleotides) under uncultured bacterium. Its description in RNAcentral is "partial 16S ribosomal RNA". It matches the Rfam family "Bacterial small subunit ribosomal RNA", at positions 338 to 795 of the family's 1533-position model. The record is from RNAcentral.